AAAGAAUUAGUUAAUAAAUAACAUAAAUAUGUCAAAUUUAAAUUAUUAUUCAAUAUAAUAUUCUUUU
RNAcentral lists this transfer RNA (67 nucleotides) under Bhutanitis thaidina. RNAcentral describes it as "tRNA-Asp". The record is from RNAcentral. Lineage: Eukaryota; Metazoa; Arthropoda; Insecta; Lepidoptera; Papilionidae.